Bos grunniens (domestic yak) is the source of this 118-nucleotide ribosomal RNA. NCBI's taxonomy places the organism in Eukaryota, Metazoa, Chordata, Mammalia, Artiodactyla, Bovidae. The record is from Ensembl.
GUCUCAGGCCGUAUCAGCCUGGGCGCCCGAUCUCGUCUGAUCUCGGAAGCUAAGCAGGGUCGGGCCUGGUUAGUAUCUUGGAUGGGAGACCACCUGGGAAUCCCGGGUGCUCGAGGCU